Molecule: ribosomal RNA, 556 nt
Filed under: uncultured bacterium
Lineage: Bacteria
Description: partial 16S ribosomal RNA
Rfam family: Bacterial small subunit ribosomal RNA
Source: RNAcentral
UGGGGAAUAUUGCACAAUGGGCGCAAGCCUGAUGCAGCCAUGCCGCGUAUGUGAAGAAGGCCUUCGGGUUGUAAAGCACUUUCAGCGAGGAGGAAGGUGGUGAGCUUAAUACGCUCAUCAAUUGACGUUACUCGCAGAAGAAGCACCGGCUAACUCCGUGCCAGCAGCCGCGGUAAUACGGAGGGUGCAAGCGUUAAUCGGAAUUACUGGGCGUAAAGCGCACGCAGGCGGUUUGUUAAGUCAGAUGUGAAAUCCCCGGGCUCAACCUGGGAACUGCAUUUGAAACUGGCAAGCUAGAGUCUCGUAGAGGGGGGUAGAAUUCCAGGUGUAGCGGUGAAAUGCGUAGAGAUCUGGAGGAAUACCGGUGGCGAAGGCGGCCCCCUGGACGAAGACUGACGCUCAGGUGCGAAAGCGUGGGGCAGCAAACAGGAUUAGAUACCCUGGUAGUCCACGCUGUAAACGAUGUCGAUUUGGAGGUUGUGCCCUUGAGGCGUGGCUUCCGGAGCUAACGCGUUAAAUCGACCGCCUGGGGAGUACGGCCGCAAGGUUAAAACUU